This 406-nucleotide ribosomal RNA is filed under the name uncultured bacterium. Its description in RNAcentral is "partial 16S ribosomal RNA". It matches the Rfam family "Bacterial small subunit ribosomal RNA", at positions 29 to 526 of the family's 1533-position model. The record is from RNAcentral.
AUUGAACGCUGGCGGCAGGCCUAACACAUGCAAGUCGAACGAGUGGCGGACGGGUGAGUAAUGUCUGGGAAAAUGCCCGAUGGAGGGGGAUAACUACUGGAAAAGGUAGCUAAUACCGCAUACCAUCUGAUGUGCCCAGAUGGGAUUAGCUUGUGGGUGGGGUAACGGCUCACCUAGGCGACGAUCCCUAGCUGGUCGGAGAGGAUGACCAGCCACACGGGAACUGAGACACGGUCCAGAUUCCUAGGGAGGGAAGCAGGGGGGAAUAUUGGACAAUGGGCGCAAGCCGGAUGCAGCCAGGCGGCUGGGAUGAAGAAGGCCUUCGGGUUGUAAAGUACUUUCAGCGGGGAGGCGUUACCCGCAGAAGAAGCACCGGCUAACUCCGUGCCAGCAGCCGCGGUAAUAC